UAGAGUUUGAUCCUGGCUCAGAGCGAACGCUGGCGGCAGGCCUAAAACAUGCAAGUCGAACGCCGUAGCAAUACGGAGUGGCAGACGGGUGAGUAACACGUGGGAACGUGCCCUUUGGUUCGGAACAACACAGGGAAACUUGUGCUAAUACCGGAUAAGCCCUUACGGGGAAGGAUUUAUCGCCAAAGGAUCGGCCCGCGUCUGAUUAGCUAGUUGGUGAGGUAACGGCUCACCAAGGCUACGAUCAGUAGCUGGUCUGAGAGGAUGAUCAGCCACACUGGGACUGAGACACGGCCCAGACUCCUACGGGAGGCAGCGGUUAGGAAUCUUGGACAAUGGGCGCAAGCCUGAUCCAGCCAUGCCGCGUGAGUGAUGAAGGCCUUAGGGUUGUAAAGCUCUUUCAGCGGGGAAGAUAAUGACGGUACCCGCAGAAGAAGCCCCGGCUAACUUCGUGCCAGCAGCCGCGGUAAUACGAAGGGGGCUAGCGUUGCUCGGAAUCACUGGGCGUAAAGCGCACGUAGGCGGCUUUUUAAGUCAGGGGUGAAAUCCUGGAGCUCAACUCCAGAACUGCCUUUGAUACUGGGAAGCUUGAGUCCGGGAGAAGUGAGUGGAACUGCNAGUGUANAGGUGAAAUUCGUAAAUAUUCGCAAGACACCAAUGGCGAAGGCGGCUCACUGGCCCGGUACUGACGCUGAGGUGCAAAAACGUGGGGAGCAAACAGAUUAAAUACCCUGGUAAUCCACCCUGUAACCAUGGAUGCUACCCCUUGCCGGGUUUACUCCUCCAUGGCGCAACUUACCCAUUAACAUCCCGCCUUGGGAAUACGGGCCCAAAAUUA
RNAcentral lists this ribosomal RNA (838 nucleotides) under uncultured bacterium. Its description in RNAcentral is "bacterial SSU rRNA". It matches the Rfam family "Bacterial small subunit ribosomal RNA", at positions 1 to 896 of the family's 1533-position model. The record is from RNAcentral.